CCAAACACUAGUUAUCAUAUUAUUUUUCCUCUACCUGGUGUCACCAGAUUGUUUUCCCUACCCUCUGUAGCCAAAACAACUUCCCCACACUUGUCACCACAUUUGUUCUCCUUCACUCUAUAGCCAACACAACCUUUCCCUCAAUUCAGAAUUUAUACAACAUGUGACCCAACCAAAUGCCUAGCUGAAUCUUGGAGAAACAAGAAUGGUUGACGUCAUUGAGGCAAGUCAAUUGAAGUUUUCUAGCAAUGCUUUUAUCGCCUUGUCUUUGGGAAAGUUAGAAAUCAUUUGAUGUUAGUUCCGUUGGGGUAAGUCAAUGGAAUCUAAUGUUAGUCUCUUGGGCAUCUUUGAUUUAGAAUAGUUUCUGUUGGGUGAUGUUCAUAGAUAUAUGGGUGGGUCCAUGGAGAUGAGAAAUCCACUUUCUUACUUAAAUAUAAGAUAUGGGAAUCAUGUGUUUGAGGCUUUCGGCUUAUAUAUUAAACACUGACCUUUAAAUCAGAUUUGUAAUUGCCCUAGGAAUUACAAUUAUCUACUGCAGGUUGCACAUGAUAAGGGCUGAAUUAUAUUUGGUAUGUUAUGGGUAAGGAAUACACACACUAAUCUUGUAUACUAACUGAUGAGAAGGUGUGGUUAGUUCGAAAUUGUCAUUGUGUAAUCAACUAAAGUGCCUAAUGUUGUUAUGUAAUUGGACUUGUCAAUUGAAUAUAUAUCAGCAGAAGGUUCUCUACACAAAAAUAUUUGGUUCAAGAUUCCACUUUAUCAAUUUAUCAAGUAUAUUAAGUGGUGCAAGGGGAGUAUAAGAUUUCAAGGGUCAGAGUUGAUUGGCUGUUUAAGCACUAACCAACCAGCCUUGGGCUGGUUUUGCAAUUCCUCUUGAAGUUAAAUUGGUUAAAUUUUGAUGUAGAGGGCUUGGUUUUGAGAAGUCUUGAGAUGGGAUUGUGAAACCUAGACUUAGUGGUGAAUUUUAGAGUUCAAUUAGUUGUUUGGGUUUGUUAAAGGAAUAUGGAUAAAAGGAAAAUUGGAGGAACUAUUUUCAUAAUGUAAUUAGGACCAUGAGAAUUACAGUAUAACUUGAUUCUCAUUUAUAGCAGAAAAAUCAGCACUAGGUGACUAGGGUGCCUUAGUUACUAGCACACUAUUUCAUGGUAGUAGUUAAUAUUACAAUGCUUUGUCAUGUAUGUUAAGGUACCUUUGAAUUCAACCUUAUAGGCUCUAGCCAGUGACUUUUGGAGCACCCAGUUGUUGGUUUUGCAGGAAGCUUAAGAUACUUAGAGGCACUCACAGAUUAGAGGUUCCCUGGAUGAAGGAAGUUGCAGUCUAUUUUUAUUGAUCUUGAGGGUUUUAUAUGUUGACGGUUUUAAAUUAUGAACUUGAGGAUUAUUUCCUUCGGAUUUUCGAGGAUAUCAUAUUUUGGGAUUUGAUGUAAUACUGGUCCAUGAGUGAUUUGGACUCUAGGGAGUAUGUCUUUUGUUGAUGGAACUUUCUUUUUGUUAGUCUGAUGUUUUGUAAUUGGGAUUAGAGCUCUGACAGUUGUGACAUGAAUUUUAGAGUAAUGGUUCAAUUUUUAUUUAAUUUUGUUA
Quercus robur (English oak) is the source of this 1580-nucleotide long non-coding RNA. RefSeq lists it as uncharacterized. The transcript has 2 exons. Lineage: Eukaryota; Viridiplantae; Streptophyta; Magnoliopsida; Fagales; Fagaceae. The record is from RefSeq and is a predicted model, not a curated record.